RNAcentral lists this transfer RNA (72 nucleotides) under Candidatus Odoribacter faecigallinarum. RNAcentral describes it as "tRNA-Glu". It matches the Rfam family "tRNA". Rfam says of the family: Transfer RNA (tRNA) molecules are approximately 80 nucleotides in length. The record is from RNAcentral. Lineage: Bacteria; Pseudomonadati; Bacteroidota; Bacteroidia; Bacteroidales; Odoribacteraceae.
GGUCUGUUCGUCUAGGGGUUAGGACGCAAGAUUUUCAUUCUUGUAACACGAGUUCGAUUCUCGUACAGACUA